GUCUAGUUGACGAGUUUCAAAUGGGACGAAACACGCGUCCUGGAU
RNAcentral lists this non-coding RNA (45 nucleotides) under Schistosoma margrebowiei. Lineage: Eukaryota; Metazoa; Platyhelminthes; Trematoda; Strigeidida; Schistosomatidae. The record is from RNAcentral.